This is a non-coding RNA of Acanthosepion pharaonis, 118 nucleotides long. Lineage: Eukaryota; Metazoa; Mollusca; Cephalopoda; Sepiida; Sepiidae. The record is from the annotation of a GenBank genome assembly.
UUACGGCCAUAUCAUGUUCAAAACACCGGUCCCUAUCCGAUCACCAAAGUUAAGCGACGUUGCUUAACUUCGUCAAUACCUAGAUGGGUGACCGCUUGGGAAUACCAGGUGCUGUAUG